UCAGUAUUAAAAAUUCCUACAGGGCAUUAAAGUAAUAAUAAACCUAAACCCAAAGAUCAUGGCGGUAACUUCAACCUUUAGGGGAACUUACCCAAUAAUUGAUAACCACCACGUAAUUCAACUUUGAGUAAUAUUUUGUAUGCCGUCGUCGGCAGAUAUAAUAUUAUAUUAUAUCUGAUAAGUAUACCCCAAAAGACAGAUCAAGGUGCAGACAAUCUUAAAGAUAGGGCGAGUUACAAUAGUAAUUUUCUUCAAAAGUGUUAAUAACUUUCACUGCAGUCGGACUUAAACGUAAACUAAAUUAAAAAUAUUAAUUGAAUAAUACUGAAGUUGUGC
RNAcentral lists this ribosomal RNA (336 nucleotides) under Helicopsis gittenbergeri. Its description in RNAcentral is "partial small subunit ribosomal RNA". Lineage: Eukaryota; Metazoa; Mollusca; Gastropoda; Stylommatophora; Geomitridae. The record is from RNAcentral.